AUUGAACGCUGGCGGCAGGCCUAACACAUGCAAGUCGAGCGGAUGACGGGAGCUUGCUCCUUGAUUCAGCGGCGGACGGGUGAGUAAUGCCUAGGAAUCUGCCUGGUAGUGGGGGACAACGUUUCGAAAGGAACGCUAAUACCGCAUACGUCCUACGGGAGAAAGCAGGGGACCUUCGGGCCUUGCGCUAUCAGAUGAGCCUAGGUCGGAUUAGCUAGUUGGUGGGGUAAUGGCUCACCAAGGCGACGAUCCGUAACUGGUCUGAGAGGAUGAUCAGUCACACUGGAACUGAGACACGGUCCAGACUCCUACGGGAGGCAGCAGUGGGGAAUAUUGGAAAAUGGGCGAAAGCCGGACUCAGCCAUGCCGCGUGUGUGAAGAAGGUCUUCGGAUUGUAAAGCACUUUAAGUUGGGAGGAAGGGCAGUAAGUUAAUACCUUGCUGUUUUGACGUUACCGACAGAAUAAGCACCGGCUAACUCUGUGCCAGCCGCCGCCGUAA
RNAcentral lists this ribosomal RNA (500 nucleotides) under uncultured bacterium. RNAcentral's name for it is "partial 16S ribosomal RNA". It matches the Rfam family "Bacterial small subunit ribosomal RNA", at positions 30 to 523 of the family's 1533-position model. The record is from RNAcentral.